GACGAACGCUGGCGGCGGGCUUAACACAUGCAAGUCGAACGGCAAGGCAGUGCUUUUGUGGGGUGCUCGGGGGGCGGACGGGUGCGUAACACGUGUGUAACCUGCCCUAGACUUUGGGAUAACUUCACGAAACUGGGCCUAAUACCGGAUAGGAUCUCCUGCUGCAGGGAGGGGGUGGGAAAGUUUCGGCGGGUGGGGAUGGACGCGCGGCUUAUCAGCUUGUUGGUGGGGUAGUGGCUGACCAAGGCGUUGACGGGUAGCCGGCCUGAGAGGGUGGCCGGCCACCUUGCGCCUGCGAUACGGCGCAGACUCCUACGGGAGGCAACGGUGGGGAGUAUUGCACAAUGGGCGGAAGCCUGUUGCGGCAGCGCCGCGUGCGGGAUGACGGCCUGCGGGUUGUGAACCGCUUCCGGCUGUGACGAAGCGUUAGUGACGGUAAUCGGUGAAGAAGCACCGGCUAACUACGUG
RNAcentral lists this ribosomal RNA (468 nucleotides) under uncultured bacterium. RNAcentral's name for it is "partial 16S ribosomal RNA". It matches the Rfam family "Bacterial small subunit ribosomal RNA", at positions 28 to 507 of the family's 1533-position model. The record is from RNAcentral.